UAAGUGACGCAUAAUCAUAGAUUUCAAGCAUAAGAAAUUCAAAACAAUAUUUCCAUGAAUGCAUGAAUGUUCCCUCAUUCCCAAGGAAAUCCCCAUACACAUGUACCAUCAUUACUAAAGUGAAAGGACAAAGAUUUUCCACAAUAAAAGUGACAGGAUGCAAGACUUUCGAGUAAGUUUCCAACUUUCUUACCAGAAUAUCGAGAAAAGAUAUUCAUGUUCUUUAUUUUAUUUAUUUAUUUAUUUUCUAAAAAGGAAAAUAUUUAUGUCACCCACUAAUCUAGGUUUUUUCACACCAACAUUCCCAGGACAGGUUCUUCUUUUGAUAUAUGUAUGUGAUCAAUCUGCCCAAUGCCUACAGCUAUUAAAUAUGAUUGAUAUGUUCUCAGCAUUAUUCACUAACAUAAUGCAUAAUGACAAUCUUCAUCAGGCUACAAUCUUCACGAGGCAAAUAAAAUACUUAAAGAUAUUCUGAUGUAAGAGAAUCUAUUUUCGGUUUUUCAUUUUCAAAGAAAACUUGUUUGACAACUACUUUCAGUUUUUAAUUUUUAAAGAAAUAAAAACUAAAAACUAGUUUUUUGAGCUUUCAAAAUUUGUAUCUUCAGUUUUUUAAUUUUAGUUUCUAAUCAACACCAUGACACAAGCCAUCAAGUAACAAAACCAGUAAAAAGUCAACUGAAAACAUUAUAUGUCGAAAAGAACAAUGAAUUACAUGAAAUAAGAACACCAAAAUAACCGCAGAAUCAACCUAUUACGUAUUGUCACACCAUAAAAUUAAAAUACAAUGAGAAGUGGCGACAAAUUUGAACCGCACCGCUAUAAUGUUGCCGUGUAAUGUAAAUCUCCCUCAAAGAAGCAACAAGGAAAUCCCUAUGCAAUAGCCUUCCACUUUCCAAUACUCGUUCAAGAGGAAAAGCUGAAAGGACAAGUAUCUUCCACAUGAAUAGUGGAAGACCGACUCUGGGAAAUUUCCAGGAAGCAAGAUUUCUGAAGAAGAAGAAGCUCAGAAAUCGAAGCUUUCAAAUCAUGAGUCGUGGAAGGUCGUCUUUUACAAGUCGGACAAGCUUUUGGAUCAGACAAGUGUCACACAUCCCUUCCCCAUCACAAAGUUCUUAGAGUUGCUGGCUACUGUAAUGAUGGGUUUCUUUUUUGCUUCUUUGGAUUUGCUUUGAAUACUUGAAUCUCAAUUGGAUUUUUUAUCCUUACAAUUAGUUCGUAGGAAUAUGGUAGCCCUCAUGUUCUUUUACUGUUCAAUAGAGCAUUAGUUAAAGUAGUGAUGUUUCUGUCCAUACAGUUGGUAGUGCGAAAUGAAAAUUGUCCUCUUAAUUUGUUGCAGCCGCCAUGUCCUCUGAAAGACGACACUCAUGUAAGAGCAAGAGGCUAUGGAGCUACCGACGAAUUAUAGUCACAAUCUAGCUGAAAUUCUUGAGAGAUGAGUUUUUCUCCGUCUUCCUCUUUGGUCAUCAAAGGACUUUCUUUUCACGGGCCCACUUCAGAUCGAAUAGAUGGAAGCUACUAACCCAUCUCUUGGAAGGACAAGAAAAAGCAGAUUUCAAAGAAAAAGCAAAGGAUUGUACAGCCACUGCUGCGAAGGUACAUACAAUGUGAUGUUAAAUUUACCCAAUUUUUCGAUUUGGAUUUAGUUCAGAGUUUUUGGGUUUUUGACUUAGUUAAAGUAGUGAUCUUUGUGUCCGUACAGUUAUAGUGGGAAAUGAAAAAUGUCUUGUUAAUUUGUUACACAGCAAGGCAUUGGCAUAUGCAUGAAGGUUUAUGGUAUUUGUAUGAUUUAAACACACCCACAUGGUUUGGUUAUGUUGUGUUGUGUGUAAACUCAGUUAGCUGAUUAAAUUAAAACUGAAGAGUUGUGAAAUUUGAGAUGCAUAGCAGCCUAAGUCCACAAAUAAGUUGCGGCACUAAUUCAAUAAAGUUCCUUGACCACCACCCAGCCCUAACUUAAGGCUGAUAACCCUUGAAUCUCAAAUAGUAUAUCACCAUGUAUAGCCGAUACGUCAUAUUUGAAGAUUACCACAUAAUCUAUAACCUAAAAAGUUAGAAGAAAGUAAUAGAUAAGGUGUAAUGAAUAGCAUCGUGUAUAUAUUUUUCCUCCCAUAAGCAGCUUUUGUGGAAUUUCAUUCAUUUUGUACAUGAUUAACACCAGUCGUUAUUUAAUUUCACAACAUACCCGAAUGCAAUUCAAAGUUUGGAAUUUGAUAUAUAUUGAUGUGGGAAUUCAAAGCUUUUUCAGUGUUUAGUUUGUUUAUAUAUUUGAAGGAGUUAAUGUUGGAUGCAAAGAUCAUAUACCCAGUAGGGAUGGACAUGACAUUCUUCGCAGGGGCGAAGACAAACAAAAACUUUAUUAAUUUUUUUUGUUUCAACAGUAUUUUUUUUUUUAUAAUAAAUAUAAAGGUCCACAGUACAAACAGUAUUUUUUUUUAUAAUCAAGUUGAUAGUUCAUCACCAGGCUGUUGUACGGUACAUGGCAAAUUAUGAGGCCAAGAAGGAAAUUACUUCGUUUCAAGCACUGAAGCUGAAGAAUAAGAAGAAGGGAUUUUGGUUAUGGUUUUUCUGUGUUAGUGCUAGAUUUAUGUAUAAUAUUUCAGAUUCUCUAAGGAAGAAGAAUUGGAAUUGAAACUUUGGCUUUUGGAUUUUCUGGGGAGAGCAAAGAAUAUCGGAUGAAAUGAUAUAUCUUCUUUCACACAAUGAUGGUUGGUCUGAGACCGGUUAGCAAGAUAUAAUCUUAACCGU
Molecule: long non-coding RNA, 2745 nt
Organism: Pyrus x bretschneideri (Chinese white pear)
Lineage: Eukaryota; Viridiplantae; Streptophyta; Magnoliopsida; Rosales; Rosaceae
Exons: 5
Source: RefSeq, a predicted model, not a curated record